CAUUCUUUCAAGGUUCUGCUCCAUUAUUCUGUUUCUCUCUUUUCACAAUCCAUCAUCAUCCUUUCCGUGCUAUUUGUUUGCGGACGGAACCAAGGAGGCCACAACUAAUUCUAUAUUCAUCGUGCCAGAGUUGAGAACCAAGCCAAGGUUGAUCUCGAUUCAGCAUCAAUGGCGGAGCGGGAUCCGGAACUCGCUUAUGUCAUUGACGAACUCGACGAUCAGUCAUUCUUCUCGCUUUGCUUUGUUCCUUCAGCGUCCAUCAGAACUUGGCUUCACAAUAACACCGAGAGGUUGCAGGUUUGUGGAAUAGAGUUCUCGAAGACGGCAGCAUGAUUGAAGGUUUCUAUUGCGUGCUAUUGAGCUUCUAAACGACGUGGAAGAUUUUGUUAGAUCAGCUGCGAUACGCAUUAUAAGACACUCGUUCUCCAGAUCUCUCUUCAUUGAUUCUGUUUUUACAACAUGAAGAUUGUUAUGAAGUGAUUUCAGUUCGGUAGUAAGUCGCUGUUCCUUAAGAUUCAUAGUCCUCUAUUUGAUAUAUACAUAGAUGUUUGAUGAGUUGAUGGCGAGAACUAAUUAUUUACUGUGUUAUAUACACGGAAUAUCAUGUUCCUUUAGCAGCAACACCUCUUCGCGAUUGAUACAGGUCAUCACCUGAGAUCUAAUGGUUGCGGCGCAUAGUCCAGAGAGGAAACUAUUUGUCUGAUGAAAUAUUCGUUAACGUGCGAAAGUCUGCCUGCGAUGCUUUGUAUACUUUGUCCAUCCUAUCAACGAAAUUUGCUGGCGAAGCCUUAAAUUUACUGAUGGAUGUCCUGAAUGAUGAUUCAGUUUCUGUCCGCUUGCAGCCUUUGGAGACAUUUCAGCGCAUGUUUCUCAGUGCUUUAAGUGACAAUAAUGGUCACGUAAGAUCUGCUUUAAGGAAAAUUCCUAAAUUAGCGAAGCUGCUUGAUUUGGACAUUCCAACCGUCUUUUAAUGGUCUUCUCGAAAGUUUAGAAUCAUACCCACAGGCCCAACGUCUGAAGGAAAGCUUGGAUUUGAUAGUGUGAAGCUACAUUGCUUGGAAGGAUCUCUCAUGCUUUGGACGACAAUAUGGAUCAAAGCACCAUUUUUGCUUGCUUGCUGCAAAAUAGUAAAAACAUUGGAUUAUUUGAGCUGGGGUUUAAUCCCGUGGGAGGCCCUUGCUCACCUACACCUGGAAGUUCUUUCAAUGAUAUACUUGCCAUUGCCUCCCUUAAGACGCCUGCAAGAUACAUGUGCAGCAGCUCAAAGAUGGUGAUGCCAUAGAAUCUAUCAAGACUAUGGUGCAAGACUUUGAGAUUUUGCAAGGAAGCAUUGGGAGUAUUCACGUAUCAAACGGACAGAUACAGUGGUUCCUUAACUUCUACAAUGCAGUAUCUCAAGAUAACGAAGCUGGCUGCAAAGCUAGGACUUGAAUGUUGGUUUGAGAAUGCUGAAGUUAAUGAACGCCGUGGAGGUCCAAAACGUGAUCCAGCACACAUUUGUAAAGAGGAGGACGUGUAUAUCUUUCCAUGAUCAACGAAGAAAUUGUUAUGGAGAUUCGAAGAAAAUCAGCAACAUCAAGUGUAAGGCAUCCAUCUUAUAUAUAGUUCAAAUGCUUACUGCUCCUGGAGAUACCUUGGACAUCCAAAGCUCAGCGUAUUAAUCAUUCUUUUAAAGCGUUGACAUGAGACUGCAUAGCCUUGGCAAUAACUGAUGCAAGAAUAUGUUCCCAGGUAUGUGAAUUGGCUAUUCCUUGGUAAUUUUGGUUGCACUUUAUCUAUAUAUACAUAUUCAUACAUACACACGCAUCAUUAAACUUAGAUUUUUCUUUGUUUGCUUCCUCAACACAAUCUAUCGAUUUUUUUCAAUAUAAAUUUUAUGCACAAUUAAUUAAGCAGUUGUUGGCUAGAGGCACUGACAGGAUAAAUCAUUAAAAAGAUUUUGUGUGCUAAUAGGUUCAUGAUUAAAUGAGUACAGCAAUAUCAUUAUUAGGCUCAAUUCAUUUACAUGUGGGCUUGCUUAGAACUUUUAGUAAAAUGAUUGAGUUUGUUUCUAUAUAUGGGCUUUGGAAGAAAAAUUGAAGUCAUCCUUACCGUUAUUAUACGGGAGAAA
This is a long non-coding RNA of Cucurbita maxima (winter squash), 2110 nucleotides long. RefSeq lists it as uncharacterized. The transcript is spliced from 11 exons. The record is from RefSeq and is a predicted model, not a curated record. NCBI's taxonomy places the organism in Eukaryota, Viridiplantae, Streptophyta, Magnoliopsida, Cucurbitales, Cucurbitaceae.